CCCAGUCACAACGAGCGACCGCGCGCUCGAUAGGCGCGCGCGCCCUGAUGUCCCGUUUCUCGCGGACAGUGCCGUUGCGUUUCGGCGAUCCCACCACCGGCAGCAGUGCCGUCAGUGCUCUCCGUAGAGGCACCCGUGCGUUUUCGCUUUGCUUGACCGGGUUCCGGAGCCGGCAGGAGGUCGCGGCUCGUUCGGUAACCCCGCCGAGAUCUGGAGCCGUAUAAACGCGGUCCCUGGAGUGAUAAGAAAACAUCUACGCCCAGUGAUAUAUAUUCUACGGCACAUACCAUUACCGUGUGUACGUGACAAGAAGUCGUUUAUGAUCGAACCGCACGGAGCUGUACGGGGAGUAUACAGAGAGAGAGACAGAGAGAUAGAAAGAGAGAAAAAUAGAAAUAGAGAUAGAUAGAGAGAGAGAGAGGAAGAGAGAAAGUGGACGUGACGCGGUUCUUUAUCGAGAAAGAAUAAAAUCGCAAUGAGAUGAAAUACAUAAUAUAGAAAUAAAGAAAAAAGAAGGAAAGGAAAAACCAAAGGAAAAGUGUGAAACGUGCAUUAUGGUGUUCUGUUGAAAAUUUUCGACUGGUGCAGUUUAAAUUUUUAAUACACCGACUUACCUUAUACCUUUACCUCCUUACAUAGACAGAAAACUCAAUAGCUGUGGUCCUCGAGUGAAUUAUCAUUUUGAUUUUCCCUUCGGUAUUUGUGUAUGUGAAUAUAAAAAACAAAGAAACUACAUUUACGUUACACCGCGUUGUGUCUCCGUAUAAUAUGUAACGUAACGUUUGAAUAACGCAAUUGAAACGAAGAAAGUGAGUGAAAAAGAUUGACAAAAAAUUAAAGUAAUAAAUAUUAUACGACGGUGACAAGAAACAAAGAAAGGAAUAUAUUAAUAGUAAAAAGCAAUUUAAAUGAAAUUAGGAAACGGGACGAAUACUAAACAAACAAGCUAGUAUAAAAUUGAUUGAAACAUAAACAAAAAAAAAUUUACCGAGUCACGUUGAAUAAUGUAAAAAUAAAAUAAAAAAAAAAAAAAAAGAAAAAGAAAGCAAACGUGCGGCUAAUAUUGUAUAGAAUUAGCACAGAUUAUAAAUAAUAUUGAGCUGCUUCGCGAACAAGUAUAAAAAAACAUUUCGUUUGUGAAGUGAUGGAAUGAAAAAAAAAAAAAAAAAUUUGUCUACGACUUGUCCUGUAAAGGCAACGU
Molecule: long non-coding RNA, 1201 nt
Filed under: Neodiprion pinetum (white pine sawfly)
Lineage: Eukaryota; Metazoa; Arthropoda; Insecta; Hymenoptera; Diprionidae
Description: uncharacterized LOC124223581
Source: RNAcentral